RNAcentral lists this ribosomal RNA (263 nucleotides) under uncultured archaeon. Its description in RNAcentral is "partial 16S ribosomal RNA". It matches the Rfam family "Archaeal small subunit ribosomal RNA", at positions 718 to 982 of the family's 1478-position model. The record is from RNAcentral.
AGUCACUGACAUUAGAUACCCCCGUAGUCCCAGCCGUAAACAAUGUGCGUUAGGUGUGUCGGUAACCACGUGCUACUGAUGCGCCGAAGAGAAAUCGUGAAACGCACCACCUGGGAAGUACGGUCGCAAGGCUGAAACUUAAAGGAAUUGGCGGGGAGCACCACAACAGGUGGAGCCUGCGGUUUAAUUGGAUUCAACGCCGGACAUCUCACCGGAUAAGACAGCUGAAUGAUUGUCAAUCUGAAGGUUUACAUGACUAGCUG